AAUCACAGUAAAGAGAUUUGAGACAAUGAGAUGCAGCGUGCUGCACACAGACAGUGCAGAUGGAAUCCAGGCUUGGAACACUGGGACAGUCUCAGGAGGCAUUUGGAAGGGCGUCAGCAGCGGAUAAGAUGGUGAAGUGCCCAGCAGCAGAUAAGGUGGCGAAGGGCCCGGCACCACUCUUUCACUGCCAUACCGGGGACCAGCGCCAUAAGCAGCACCCCUGGACCAAUUCCUCCGCCGCCGGCAUUUGCGGACCCGCCUCGUCCUGACCAACUCCGGCGAUUGGUCCUUAUACUGAGGGCGGUAGUCCAACAAAUGUUUGUUUAUAUUUUACGUUGCU
Molecule: long non-coding RNA, 340 nt
Organism: Pseudophryne corroboree (corroboree frog)
Lineage: Eukaryota; Metazoa; Chordata; Amphibia; Anura; Myobatrachidae
Exons: 4
Source: RefSeq, a predicted model, not a curated record